Molecule: ribosomal RNA, 463 nt
Filed under: uncultured Flavobacterium sp.
Lineage: Bacteria; Pseudomonadati; Bacteroidota; Flavobacteriia; Flavobacteriales; Flavobacteriaceae
Description: bacterial SSU rRNA
Rfam family: Bacterial small subunit ribosomal RNA
Source: RNAcentral
UCCUACGGGUGGCUGCAGUGAGGAAUAUUGGUCAAUGGACGCAAGUCUGAACCAGCCAUGCCGCGUGCAGGAUGACGGUCCUAUGGAUUGUAAACUGCUUUUAUACAGGAAGAAACACUCCCUCGUGAGGGAGCUUGACGGUACUGUAGGAAUAAGGAUCGGCUAACUCCGUGCCAGCAGCCGCGGUAAUAAGGAGGAUCCAAGCGUUAUCCGGAAUCAUUGGGUUUAAAGGGUCCGUAGGCGGUUUAAUAAGUCAGUGGUGAAAGCCUAUCGCUUAACGAUAGAACGGCCAUUGAUACUGUUAGACUUGAAUUAGUGGGAAGUAACUAGAAUAUGUAGUGUAGCGGUGAAAUGCUUAGAUAUUACAUGGAAUACCAAUUGCGAAGGCAGGUUACUAUCACUAUAUUGACGCUGAUGGACGAAAGCGUGGGGAGCGAACAGGAUUAGAUACCCUUGUAGUCAG